GGUGGUCUAAUACCUUAUAGUAUCCAUCUCGUAUGGAUUAAAGCUUUAUGCGCUUUGGAGGGGCCUGCGUUUGAUUAGCUAGUUGGUGAGGUAAAAGCUCACCAAGGCGACGAUCAAUAGCUGGUUUGAGAGGAUGACCAGCCACACUGGGACUGAGAUACGGCCCAGACUCCUACGGGAGGCAGCAGUAAGGAAUCUUCCACAAUGGGGGCAACCCUGAUGGAGCAAUACCGCGUGCAGGAUGAAGCGUUUCGGCGUGUAAACUGCUUUAUCACCGAAGAUUAUGACUGUAGGUGAAGAAUAAGGACCGGCUAACUACGUG
This 322-nucleotide ribosomal RNA is filed under the name uncultured bacterium. Its description in RNAcentral is "bacterial SSU rRNA". It matches the Rfam family "Bacterial small subunit ribosomal RNA", at positions 157 to 507 of the family's 1533-position model. The record is from RNAcentral.